Mytilus californianus (California mussel) is the source of this 379-nucleotide long non-coding RNA. RefSeq lists it as uncharacterized. The record is from RefSeq and is a predicted model, not a curated record. Lineage: Eukaryota; Metazoa; Mollusca; Bivalvia; Mytilida; Mytilidae. The transcript is spliced from 2 exons.
UUAUUAUUUCUUAGUAACAAUUUGUCAUUAAUAAAAUAAAAAUGAAACAGAAAGAAAAUAAAUUACAACAAUGCUAAUUCAUAGGCAAAACUGUCUAAUAAAAAAAGGUAUGACUGAAUGACAAGGUGAAGAUGAGAAAUGGUUCCCAUCAAUCUAACCUGAAUUCAGUAUGACUGAAUGACAAGGUGAAGGUGAGAAAUGGUUACCAUCAAUCUAACCUGAAUUCAGUAUGACUGAAUGACAAGGUGAAGGUUAGAAAUGGUUACCAUCAAUCUAACCAGAAUUCAUAUAAUGCAUAUGACUAAUUGAGCAAGUAAGAUGGCUGCCAUGUUUACUCAAGUAAUCUUCAUUCAAACUAAAAAAAUCAAAAGUUGACAAA